RNAcentral lists this ribosomal RNA (253 nucleotides) under uncultured bacterium. RNAcentral's name for it is "partial 16S ribosomal RNA". It matches the Rfam family "Bacterial small subunit ribosomal RNA", at positions 524 to 776 of the family's 1533-position model. The record is from RNAcentral.
UACGUAGGGUGCGAGCGUUGCCCGGAUUUAUUGGGCGUAAAGAGCGUGUAGGCGGCUUUACAGGUCCGUUGUGAAAACUCGAGGCUCAACCUCGAGACGUCGGCGGAAACCAUCUGGCUAGAGUCCGGAAGAGGAGAGUGGAAUUCCUGGUGUAGCGGUGAAAUGCGCAGAUAUCAGGAAGAACACCCGUGGCGAAGGCGGCUCUCUGGGACGGUACUGACGCUGAGACGCGAAAGCGUGGGGAGCGAGCAGG